UAUUGAUGAGACCAUAUAUUUAU
This 23-nucleotide small nuclear RNA is filed under the name Arabidopsis thaliana (thale cress). RNAcentral's name for it is "snRNA_09025". Lineage: Eukaryota; Viridiplantae; Streptophyta; Magnoliopsida; Brassicales; Brassicaceae. The record is from RNAcentral.